AUAUAUAUACAGUACAUAUUCUAAAAUUGGAAUGAUACAAAGAAGAUUAGCAUGGCCCCUGUGCAAGGAUGAUACGCAAAUUUGUGAAGUGUUCCAUAUUUAU
RNAcentral lists this small nuclear RNA (103 nucleotides) under Octopus bimaculoides (California two-spot octopus). The record is from RNAcentral. Lineage: Eukaryota; Metazoa; Mollusca; Cephalopoda; Octopoda; Octopodidae.